This 643-nucleotide precursor RNA is filed under the name Oryza sativa Japonica Group (Japanese rice). Its description in RNAcentral is "putative precursor microRNA R535". The stretch from base 359 to 464 matches the Rfam family "MIR535 microRNA precursor family". Lineage: Eukaryota; Viridiplantae; Streptophyta; Magnoliopsida; Poales; Poaceae. The record is from RNAcentral.
GGAGUAGUAGUCUGCUACUGAUCUUUUUUUUUUCUUUCAGAUUUCAUGCAUGCUGGUUUUGGUUCUUUUCUUUUCUCGAGCUGUUCUUCCUGUUUUCUUGCAAAGGCAUUAAAUUAAGGCAAAAAAAAUCUUGGAUCUUGGUUUCAUGGCCGCAUAUCGAUCCGUUCUCCAUGUAAUAUUGCGCUGCUUGAUUCAGAGGGAGAGAAGAGAGGACACAUCUGCGUCUCUUUUCGAUCUUGAUUCAGAGGGAGCUGAUCUUGUCUAAUCCAAUAAAUUUCGGUUUGAUUCUGCUGGUUCAGGUUCAGGUUGAUUUCUUGCCCGGCCAGCCGACGAAGAUUUGGUUGGUUAGUUUGCUCGCCGGCCGGCGGUGACAACGAGAGAGAGCACGCCGGUGCGGCGGUCACGGUGAGCCGGCCCGCGGCGGCGUACCUGCGUGCUUUCUCCCGUUGUCACUGCCAUACACACAUAUAUGCUCUCGCUCGCAUGCACAAGCUCAGCUUCUCCUCUCAGUCUCACUGGUGAGUAUACUUACUCAACUCAAUCACCAAUUCACCAUACUUAGCUAUAUAUAGUUAUAUGUACCCCCAUCCCCUAAAUGUUCUCUUAUUGUUUAUGCUGUUGUGACUAAUCAAUUUCAACCGCA